Molecule: non-coding RNA, 99 nt
Organism: Lyophyllum atratum
Lineage: Eukaryota; Fungi; Basidiomycota; Agaricomycetes; Agaricales; Lyophyllaceae
Source: the annotation of a GenBank genome assembly
GGGUCGAUGGCGUAGCUGGUUAUCGCAUCUGUCUAACAUAGUCUCCUGACUAAAUUUGUCGGUCACAGAAGGUCCUCAGUUCGAACCUGGGUCGACUCA